GAUGAAGAAACGUAGCGAAAUGCGAUACUUGGUGUGAAUUGCAGAAUCCCGUGAACCAUCGAGCCUUUGAACGCAAGUUGCGCCCGAAGCCAUUAGGCCGAGGGCACGCCUGCCUGGGCGUCACACGUCGUUGCCCCCCCAUCUACUCCUUCGGGAUUGCGGGGGGCGGAUGAUGGCCUCCCGUGCGCCUCGCCGCGCGGUUGGCAUAAAUGCCAAGUCCUCGGCGACGCACGCCACGACAAUCGGUGGUUGCGAAACCUCGGUUGCCCGUCGUGUGCGGUCGUCGCGCAUCGAGGGCUCGAAAAAAUUGCCGGGUUCCGGCUCGGCUUUCAACGCGACCCCAGGUCAGGCGGGGUUACCCGCUGAAUUUAAGCAUAUCAAUAAGCGGAGGA
RNAcentral lists this unclassified non-coding RNA (392 nucleotides) under soil metagenome. RNAcentral describes it as "partial contains 5.8S ribosomal RNA, internal transcribed spacer 2, and large subunit ribosomal RNA". The stretch from base 1 to 123 matches the Rfam family "5.8S ribosomal RNA", at positions 35 to 154 of the family's 154-position model. The record is from RNAcentral.